CGCCGUGCACGAACCACCCACCGGUCCUCGCCGAACCUGUCUGAGCCGUUCCUCAAGCACCUAAUACCAGAGCCCUAGCCCAAAUUCGAGUCUAGCGAGUCAACAACUCCAGAUCUCACAGAAUCAACCGGAUCUCCCAUAUCCGUUCAACUCCGCCGUUGUCGCCGCCAACGGAUUCCGUUGCUUUUCCCACAUAUCGACAGCGACGACAUCGUCUCCGCCUUCGAAGAAAACUCCAACCCGGCGACCAUCCUAGUGCAAUCUUGCCUCUCUCCAGCAUCGUCGAACUAGAACUCUGAUAUGGAAAGUCAAACUCGACGAGAUCCGGCGGAUACGGUGUGCUGUCAAAGCCAUCCAAGACGAAAACUCAGACCUUAACUGCGUCAUCUUCACAGGCGACAAUGACUUCUCCCCCGACUCAUUGACCGCCCGAGCUGCAUAUCGAUCG
This 448-nucleotide long non-coding RNA is filed under the name Rosa chinensis. Its description in RNAcentral is "sRNA RchiOBHm_Chr6g0255651". Lineage: Eukaryota; Viridiplantae; Streptophyta; Magnoliopsida; Rosales; Rosaceae. The record is from RNAcentral.